This 387-nucleotide long non-coding RNA is filed under the name Heterocephalus glaber (naked mole-rat). RNAcentral describes it as "lncRNA (ENSHGLG00000046453.1)". Lineage: Eukaryota; Metazoa; Chordata; Mammalia; Rodentia; Bathyergidae. The record is from RNAcentral.
CGAGGAAGGCGACGCAUUUAUCUGCAGGGCGGCCGGGCGUCCGCCGGGGAGCAGGAGCGCCGCGCGCUGUGCGCCGAGAGCGCCCGCGCCAGGCUGGCUCCGCGCGCGCCCGCUACCAGAGCACUGCAGUCUUUGGAAUCCCACGUCACCUCUGCACAGCGUGUUCAUGGGAGGAUCGCCUGUCACCGCAGCACCUCUGGGAAGAAAGACAGCAGCCAACUGGCUCAUGGCACAGCAGUAGCAAGAGAAGAAAUUUCUGGCCAACAAGUCUGUAGCAAAUAUAGUCUGCUGUUAAUCAUGCUCAGUAGGAAGGUUUUUGCAGUUCUUUCUUUCUUCUGUAGCUCUCCUCAGUAGGCUAGCCACCAGCCCAUCGUGAUGGAGCAUGCC